UUGGUUUUUGCUCUUUUUUUUUGGUACUAGGGAUCAAACUUGGGCCCUUGUGCUUGAGGCAGGUGGCGGCACCACUGAGCUAAAUCCCCAGUCCAUUAAUUGAUUCAUUUCUGAGACAACUGAACUGUCUUCACCAUGCCUAUGUUGGGCUCUGUCUGUGUGUGUGUGUGUAUGUGUGUGUGUCUUCCAUUCAGUAUGUUCUGUUCUUCUAUCCUUCAUACUCUCCCAGGUUCCUCUUAUUUUCCUACAUCUGUGUCUACAUAUGGUACCAGACUAGUUGCUCCCUCUGAAAUAGAACAUAUCUCAAAAAACAACUCAGAAUCAAGGACUCUGGCCUCCCCUGCCAGCUCAACAGUGAACCCUAGAAUCCUCUGGACCUCAGUCCCGGGCCAGGUACCUCUUCUGGGCCAUUCAUCUGUCAUUGCUACCAAAGCCAAGGUCCACUUCACAAAAGGCCUUACCUGGAGUAGGACAUUCCUGACCCCUUGAUCCAGUUGCCUCGGGGAGAGCAGACAAUUUGGGGGCUGCAGAAGAUACCACCGAGGGAUGGAAAAUGCACCACCAGGAGCCAGGAAGUCCCAAGGAGACAAGGCCCAGGCACGCACAGAGUGACUGAGAUGGGGGGGGCUCUUUGGGUUAUGGGAACAAGGGGCCAUGGCGGGAGGAUUAGGACUUUUUAUAAUUCAGACCUUGAGGGAGGAAGCCUAGCCUAGUCCAGGACUAGCCUGCUGUGAAGGGCACCCUCUGCCUCUUAUAAUGGGCAUCUCUAUGCUGCUAAAGUCUGUGAUCACAAUAGCUCCCCCGAGAAAAUGGAGACCAGCCUCAAACAAUCCUUGCACCUAGACAUUCCUAGUAGCAUUUUUCACAAUAGACAAAAGGUAGGAGCAAGCCAAAUGUCCACCAAUUGCUGGAUGGAUAAACAAACCAGUACAGCUAGAUGGAAAAACAUUGCUCACCCAAGAAAAGAAAUGAAGUACUGACAUGUGUUACAGUGUAGAUGAGCCUUAAAAUCAUGGUUAUCCAAUUUUUCAGUGAGAGAGAUACAAAGGGCCACAUGUUAUUCCACUUAUAUGAGAUAGCCAGAGUAGGUACCUCCACAGAAAGAGAAAAAAGAUUGGUGGUCGUCAGCGUAGUAAUUGUAAAUGGGUAUGAGACUGGUG
RNAcentral lists this long non-coding RNA (1160 nucleotides) under Fukomys damarensis (Damara mole-rat). RNAcentral's name for it is "lncRNA (ENSFDAG00000028906.1)". The record is from RNAcentral. Lineage: Eukaryota; Metazoa; Chordata; Mammalia; Rodentia; Bathyergidae.